Molecule: ribosomal RNA, 324 nt
Filed under: uncultured Spirochaetota bacterium
Lineage: Bacteria; Pseudomonadati; Spirochaetota
Description: bacterial SSU rRNA
Rfam family: Bacterial small subunit ribosomal RNA
Source: RNAcentral
GACGAACGCUGGCGGCGUGGAUUAGGCAUGCAAGUCGAACGGUAUCCCUUCCUUCGGGCGGGGAGAGAGUGGCGAACGGGUGAGUAACGCGUAGGUAAUCUACCUUCAGAUGGGGGACAACCCAGGGAAACUUGGGCUAAUACCGCAUGUGCCCGCAAGGGUAAAGCCGGCCUCUGCUAGCAAGCUGGUGUCUGAAGCUGAGCCUGCGUCUGAUUAGCUAGUUGGUGGGGUAACGGCCUACCGAGGCGAUGAUAAGUAGGCGGCUUUAACGAGUGGUCGCCCACACUGGGAUUGAGAUACGGCCCAGACUCCUACGGGAGGCAG